RNAcentral lists this long non-coding RNA (264 nucleotides) under Elaeis guineensis (African oil palm). RNAcentral's name for it is "long non-coding RNA (EGUI_LNC026137)". Lineage: Eukaryota; Viridiplantae; Streptophyta; Magnoliopsida; Arecales; Arecaceae. The record is from RNAcentral.
CCUGUUUUUACUAUAUUCAUGGCAUAUAAUGAAUUAUUUAUUCUUUUGAAUGUAAUUUGAUUUUUAUUGCAAGUAUUUAUUGAUUUGUGAGAGUUAUAGAAUGUUGAAUUAAUAAAUACAGUGGGCACUAUGGGCAAUGUGGGCAAUAUGAGUAUCGUGGGCACUAUUAAUUCAUAAUAUUGAAUUAGUGCAUUGCUCACUCUUGCAUAAAACAUUGUUUAUCCCAUUCUAAUAAUAGUUCUCAGUAUGUAGAUAUAUUGCUUG